This 497-nucleotide ribosomal RNA is filed under the name uncultured bacterium. RNAcentral describes it as "partial 16S ribosomal RNA". It matches the Rfam family "Bacterial small subunit ribosomal RNA", at positions 28 to 507 of the family's 1533-position model. The record is from RNAcentral.
GAUGAACGCUGGCGGCGUGCCUAAUACAUGCCAGUCGAGCGAACAGAUGAGGAGCUUGCUCCUCUGGCGUUAGCGGCGGACGGGUGAGUAACACGUGGAUAACCUACCUAUAAGACUGGGAUAACUUCGGGAAACCGGAGCUAAUACCGGAUAAUAUAUUGAACCGCAUGGUUCAAUAGUGAAAGACGGUUUUGCUGUCACUUAUAGAUGGAUCCGCGCCGCAUUAGCUAGUUGGUAAGGUAACGGCUUACCAAGGCAACGAUGCGUAGCCGACCUGAGAGGGUGAUCGGCCGCACUGGAACUGGGACACGGUCCAGGCUCCUACGGGAGGCAGCAGUAGGGAAUCUUCCGCAAUGGGCGAAAGCCUGACGGAGCAACGCCGCGUGAGUGAUGAAGGUCUUCGGAUCGUAAAACUCUGUUAUUAGGGAAGAACAAAUAUGUAAGUAACUAUGCACGUCUUGACGGUACCUAAUCAGAAAGCCACGGCUAACUACGUG